Molecule: small nuclear RNA, 147 nt
Organism: Toxorhynchites rutilus septentrionalis
Lineage: Eukaryota; Metazoa; Arthropoda; Insecta; Diptera; Culicidae
Product: U4 spliceosomal RNA
Exons: 1
Source: RefSeq, a predicted model, not a curated record
AGCUUUGCGCAGUGGCGAUAUCAUAACAAUCGAGGUUUAUCCGAGGUGUGAUUAUUGCUAGUUGAACACUAAAAAAAACCCGAGGCAAAAGUUUCUGUUGAUUACUAAGAACAAAAGUAAACAAGUUGUAGCGUGUACCACGUGUAC